This 510-nucleotide ribosomal RNA is filed under the name uncultured bacterium. Its description in RNAcentral is "bacterial SSU rRNA". It matches the Rfam family "Bacterial small subunit ribosomal RNA", at positions 791 to 1300 of the family's 1533-position model. The record is from RNAcentral.
UAGUCCACGCUGUAAACGAUGUCUACUUGGAGGUUGUUGUCUUGAAUGAUGGCUUUCGGAGCUAACGCGUUAAGUAGACCGCCUGGGGAGUACGGCCGCAAGGUUAAAACUCAAAUGAAUUGACGGGGGCCCGCACAAGCGGUGGAGCAUGUGGUUUAAUUCGAUGCAACGCGAAGAACCUUACCUACUCUUGACAUCUAGAGAAGCCAGCGGAGACGCAGGUGUGCCUUCGGGAACUCUAAGACAGGUGCUGCAUGGCUGUCGUCAGCUCGUGUUGUGAAAUGUUGGGUUAAGUCCCGCAACGAGCGCAACCCUUAUCCUUGUUUGCCAGCACGUAAUGGUGGGAAUUCCAGGGAGACUGCCGGUGAUAAACCGGAGGAAGGUAAGGAUGACGUCAAGUCAGCAUGCCCCUUACGCUCUGGGCUACACACGUGCUACAAUGGUCGUGACAAAGAGUUGCUAGUCUGCGAAGGCAAGCCAAUCUCAUAAACGCGGCCUUAGUUCGGAUUG